RNAcentral lists this ribosomal RNA (254 nucleotides) under uncultured bacterium. RNAcentral describes it as "partial 16S ribosomal RNA". It matches the Rfam family "Bacterial small subunit ribosomal RNA", at positions 524 to 777 of the family's 1533-position model. The record is from RNAcentral.
UACGGAGGGAGCUAGCGUUGUUCGGAAUUACUGGGCGUAAAGCGCGCGUAGGCGGCUUUGCAAGUCGGGUGUGAAAUCCCCAGGCUUAACCUGGGAACUGCAUUCGAGACUGCAUUGCUAGAGUAUGGGAGAGGGAAGUGGAAUUUCCGGUGUAGCGGUGAAAUGCGUAGAUAUCGGAAGGAACAUCAGUGGCGAAAGCGACUUCCUGGACCAAUACUGACGCUCAUGUGCGAAAGCGUGGGGAGCAAACAGGG